GCCCUCGUAGCCCAACGGGAGAGGCAACGCGCUCAGAACGCGUUCAGUCCAGGUUCGAAUCCUGGCGGGGGCACCA
RNAcentral lists this transfer RNA (76 nucleotides) under Actinophytocola xinjiangensis. Its description in RNAcentral is "tRNA-Leu". It matches the Rfam family "tRNA". Rfam says of the family: Transfer RNA (tRNA) molecules are approximately 80 nucleotides in length. Their secondary structure includes four short double-helical elements and three loops (D, anti-codon, and T loops). Lineage: Bacteria; Bacillati; Actinomycetota; Actinomycetes; Pseudonocardiales; Pseudonocardiaceae. The record is from RNAcentral.